Molecule: long non-coding RNA, 280 nt
Filed under: Ananas comosus (pineapple)
Lineage: Eukaryota; Viridiplantae; Streptophyta; Magnoliopsida; Poales; Bromeliaceae
Description: long non-coding RNA (ACOM_LNC013331)
Source: RNAcentral
UUAUAGUUGGUGGAUUUAAACUUAAGUGCUGAAAUUGCGAGGGUGUUGAUGCAAUUUUGAUGUUUUUGUGUUUUGAUCUUUGGAGGAUGUUGGGUUGUGGACCAGAGGGUGAUACUCCAUCAUAGUUCACUGGUUUUGGACCUUUUCUUACCUGAUUUGGAGAUCAGAAGUUGAAGUCGACAUUGAGAUUGAUGUGAAUUUGAGCUUUUGUGCUGAAUUUUGGGUUAUUGAUGGAUUUUGAUGUUUAAAUCCUUAGAGAGGCUUGUUGCUGGUUGUGGCU